Molecule: long non-coding RNA, 271 nt
Filed under: Setaria viridis
Lineage: Eukaryota; Viridiplantae; Streptophyta; Magnoliopsida; Poales; Poaceae
Description: long non-coding RNA (SVIR_LNC006733)
Source: RNAcentral
UGGGAGAGAAGAAAGGAAAAUUUUGAUUAGGACACUAACAGGUGGGACCCACAUGUCAGGAGAGAUGGAAAGGGCAAAGGGGAUCUACUGCAGUACGUCUCCCUAUAAUCCAAAAACCGUGGAAGGGGAUUCCCCAGUAAGGUAAUAAAGGGGAAUGGGAGAAAUCAAUCCGCUGGAGAUGCUCUUGCUCCCUUACUACAUAACUUUUGUGAUCAAAGUUUGUGUUGUUAGAUUCAUAUUCAAAAGUACUUACAUAAUUGUUUGUAUCACG